ACUGAGUUGCUUAGCACCUCACUUUCACUGAGGCUGGCUUUGAUCUCCUGAUCCUCUUGCCUUAGCCUUCUGAACCUCUGGGAUUAUAGGUGUGCACCGCUGCACCUGGCCUUCCUGCUCUUUUGCCAUUCAAUCUCAGUGAGAUGAACAGGUUUGCUUCACCACAUGUUGUCUGCCAGGAUAUACUGUCUUGCCAAAGGCCCAGAAGCCACAGGCCAUAGAAUGAAACUUCUGAAAAUGUAGGCGGAGCUGUGCCCUCCGAGCGGAGUCUCUGCCCUCUACCUGCCAAUAGCAAACCCUGUAAGGCGUCUCCUGGUAGUCUCAGACUUGUCAGUCCAGAGCCAUUUCACCUCUCCGGCCCCUCCCCCCUUCCUCCUGUCAGCUGGCCAGCCAGGUCCUGUUCACCGGAAUCGGUUCCCCAAAGAUCUAGUUACACUUGCAGCCCCACUGCGAGUCCCAUUUAAGCCCCAGUGCUGUGGUAAACUGGCGGCUAAGACCUUGGGAGUUGCCGCUGGUGAUAUGGAGGGUUGGGGGUCGGGGAUCCCCUCUGCUUCUCCACAGACACGCCCCCAGAGAGAUCCCCAAAGUUUCCUGGCUGCCUGUAUCUGGAUGGGGCGGGAGUCACACACCUGCUAAAGUGGAUUCUGCUGGGAAGGAAUUCCGUGGGCUGGACUCCGAUGACGUUUCCUCUCUGCUAUGGCGGGCCCCAGGCUCCUUGCCGGAGUGUCCGAAGGGAGGGGUGGGACUGGUCCUUCCCCGGUUGGCCUCAGCUCCUGGCUCACUAUUUCAUGAAGGCUUGGCUAAAGACCUCUUCCUGCCAAGCUGCAUCUCGCGGAGGCUAGCGAGACCCAGUCACGUUGGCUGCGAGCGGGUGGGCGUGCAGCCGCUCCGGGAUGCGCCGACAACGGCUGGCGGAUCUGGACCUCUGUGGCUCUGGACCUCUGCGACUCGUGGAGGGGAUUUGCUCGUCUGGAGCAAACUGUCACUUCAAAAAAUCCUAGUAGCUCCCAGCUGGUCUCUCUUCAGUGGAAUUUUGCUAGGAGAUUCUCCGUUGGUAGAAUCUAAGCAUUAUCUAUGCGUCUUUAUGACCCCAUCCAUGAGGGGGUGUUGAAAUCGAUCAUCAUCAUCAUCAUCAUCAUCAACAACAACAAAAUUGUUCCGUGAGGAUGCAGUGCCAGGAGUGCCCAACUGACCAGCAGAGGGUGUGCUGAGUCUGUGUCCUUGGGCUGUAACCAUGCCCAGCAGAAUGAAUUCUCAUCCUAGCGCUAAUCAGAGAGACAAACAGCUUUUUGCUCUUUCCUCUAGUGAUCAACUCUUCUACUCCAACUUUUGAAUGAGCUCUGCAAAGGGGCUGGCAUCUUUUGUGUUCAGAGGCCUCAGCCAGAGGCUAGAAUUUGCUGGAAUUCAGCCUUUAUCCUUUGGAUUAAAAAAAGAACUGUCAAGAAAACCUUGCCUGUGGCCUGCAUCAUGUAGAUCAGAGAGAUGAGCUUAGUUGCUGAUGGGUCACGUGGCCAACUCAUCUCCUCAUCUCUGCCUACUGGGCAGGAGUUCUUUCUCUCAGCGGCACCCAGCUCAUCUUACCCUCCUCCCAAACACACAAGAAACAAAACAGCCUUCAAAGAACAAAGCAAGGAACACUUUCCAUUUUAAAAGGGUUAUUUCUGGGCAGUGGGGUUGUGGGUGAUAUUUCUCUUUUAGGCUUAUCUGAAUUGUUCAGAUUUUCUAUUAAUAUCAUGAAAUAUGUAUUUUUUUGUGCAAUGUAAAAGGUUAAAAAUAAAUCCAACUGCACAGAUAA
Molecule: non-coding RNA, 1795 nt
Organism: Ictidomys tridecemlineatus (thirteen-lined ground squirrel)
Lineage: Eukaryota; Metazoa; Chordata; Mammalia; Rodentia; Sciuridae
Source: RefSeq, a predicted model, not a curated record